Molecule: ribosomal RNA, 732 nt
Filed under: uncultured bacterium
Lineage: Bacteria
Description: bacterial SSU rRNA
Rfam family: Bacterial small subunit ribosomal RNA
Source: RNAcentral
GGUGAACGCUAGCGGUGCGUCUAACACAUGCAAGUCGAGCGGUAGAGUAAUAACUGAUCUUUUCGGAGUGAAGAUAUUGUUUGAGAGCGGCGAACGGGUGAGUAACAUGUUGGUAUCUACCCUCAAGUCAGGGAUAGCCUAGGGAAACCUAGAUUAAUACCGGAUAGUCUCUUUGGAGUAAAAAUUUAUUGCUUGAGGAGGAACCUACAUUCUAUCAGCUAGUUGGUAAGGUAACUGCUUACCAAGGCUAUGACGGAUAACUGGUCUGAGAGGAUGAUCAGUCACAAUGGGACUGAGACACGGUCCAUACUCCUACGGGAGGCAGCAGUGAGGAAUCUUCCACAAUGGACGAAAGUCUGAUGGAGCGACACCGCGUGAAGGAUGAAGGUUUAACAAUUGUAAACUUCUUUUCUGAAGGAGCAUAAUGAGAGUACUUCAGGAAUAAGGGACGGCUAAAUACGUGCCAGCAGCCGCGGUAAUACGUAUGUCCCAAGCGUUACCCGGAAUUACUGGGUGUAAAGGGUUUGUAGGUGGGAAUAUAAGUCAGAUAUGAAAGACCGGAGCUUAACUCCGUGUUUGUGUUUGAAACUGUAUUUCUAGAAUAAGGGAGAGGUAAGCGGAAUUCUAAGUGUAGGGGUGCAAUCCGUAGAUACUUAGAGGAACACCAAAAGCGAAGGCAGCUUACUGGAACUUUAUUGACGCUCAUGAACGAAAGCAUGGGGAGCGAAAAGG